RNAcentral lists this ribosomal RNA (401 nucleotides) under Staphylococcus hominis. Its description in RNAcentral is "bacterial SSU rRNA". It matches the Rfam family "Bacterial small subunit ribosomal RNA", at positions 975 to 1375 of the family's 1533-position model. RNAcentral also lists the same sequence under 2 other names. Lineage: Bacteria; Bacillati; Bacillota; Bacilli; Caryophanales; Staphylococcaceae. The record is from RNAcentral.
CAAAUCUUGACAUCCUUUGACCCUUCUAGAGAUAGAAGUUUCCCCUUCGGGGGACAAAGUGACAGGUGGUGCAUGGUUGUCGUCAGCUCGUGUCGUGAGAUGUUGGGUUAAGUCCCGCAACGAGCGCAACCCUUAAGCUUAGUUGCCAUCAUUAAGUUGGGCACUCUAAGUUGACUGCCGGUGACAAACCGGAGGAAGGUGGGGAUGACGUCAAAUCAUCAUGCCCCUUAUGAUUUGGGCUACACACGUGCUACAAUGGACAAUACAAAGGGCAGCGAAACCGCGAGGUCAAGCAAAUCCCAUAAAGUUGUUCUCAGUUCGGAUUGUAGUCUGCAACUCGACUACAUGAAGCUGGAAUCGCUAGUAAUCGUAGAUCAGCAUGCUACGGUGAAUACGUUCCC